RNAcentral lists this ribosomal RNA (252 nucleotides) under uncultured bacterium. Its description in RNAcentral is "partial 16S ribosomal RNA". It matches the Rfam family "Bacterial small subunit ribosomal RNA", at positions 525 to 776 of the family's 1533-position model. The record is from RNAcentral.
ACGGAGGGAGCUAGCGUUGUUCGGAAUUACUGGGCGUAAAGAGCGCGUAGGCGGCUAACUAAGUUGGGAGUGAAAUCCCAGGGCUUAACCCUGGAAUUGCUUUCAAAACUGGCUAGCUAGAGAACGAUAGAGGAUGGUGGAAUUCCUAGUGUAGAGGUGAAAUUCUUAGAUAUUAGGAGGAACAUCGGAGGCGAAGGCGACCAUCUGGGUCGUAUCUGACGCUGAGGUGCGAAAGCGUGGGGAGCAAACAGG